This 308-nucleotide ribosomal RNA is filed under the name Escherichia coli. Its description in RNAcentral is "partial 23S ribosomal RNA". It matches the Rfam family "Bacterial large subunit ribosomal RNA", at positions 2650 to 2925 of the family's 2925-position model. The record is from RNAcentral. Lineage: Bacteria; Pseudomonadati; Pseudomonadota; Gammaproteobacteria; Enterobacterales; Enterobacteriaceae.
GGCGCUCGGAGAACGUGAGGGGGGCUGCGUCCUACGUACGAGAGGACSGGASGAUGGACAGCAUCACUGGUGUUCGGGUUGUCAUGCCAAUGGCACUGCCCGGUAGCUAAAUGCGGAAGAGAUAAGUGCUGAAAGCAUCUAAGACACGAAACUUGCCCCGACGAUGAGUUCUCCCUGACUCCUUGAGAGUCCUGAAGGAACGUUGAAGACGACGACGUUGAUAGGCCGGGUGUGUAAGCGCAGCGAUGCGUUGAGCUAACCGGUACUAAUGAACCGUGAGGCUUAACCUUACAACGCCGAAGGUGUUU